This 76-nucleotide transfer RNA is filed under the name Gilliamella apicola. Its description in RNAcentral is "tRNA-Val". It matches the Rfam family "tRNA". Rfam says of the family: Transfer RNA (tRNA) molecules are approximately 80 nucleotides in length. Lineage: Bacteria; Pseudomonadati; Pseudomonadota; Gammaproteobacteria; Orbales; Orbaceae. The record is from RNAcentral.
GGGUGAUUAGCUCAGUUGGGAGAGCACCUCCCUUACAAGGAGGGGGUCACUGGUUCGAACCCAGUAUCACCCACCA